This 459-nucleotide ribosomal RNA is filed under the name uncultured bacterium. RNAcentral describes it as "partial 16S ribosomal RNA". It matches the Rfam family "Bacterial small subunit ribosomal RNA", at positions 338 to 795 of the family's 1533-position model. The record is from RNAcentral.
CCUACGGGGGGCAGCAGUGAGGAAUAUUGGUCAAUGGCCGGAAGGCUGAACCAGCCAUGCCGCGUGAAGGUCAGUGCCCUAUGGGCGUUAAACUUCUUUUGUGCGGGAGCAAUAAUGGUCACGUGUGGCCAGACGAGAGUACCGUACGAAUAAGCAUCGGCUAACUCCGUGCCAGCAGCCGCGGUAAUAAGGGGGAUGCAAGCGUUAUCCGGAUUUAUUGGGUUUAAAGGGUGUGCAGCCGGGAAGACAAGUCAGAUGUGAAAUCCCGCGGCUCAACCGCGGACCUGCAUUUGAAACUGUUCUUCUUGAGUACCGGAGAGGUCAUCGGAAUUCCAUGUGUAGCGGUGAAAUGCGUAGAUAUAAGGAAGAACACCAGUGGCGAAGGCGGAUGCCUGGACGGCAACUGACGGUGAGGCGCGAAAGCGUGGGGAGCAAACAGGAUUAGAUACCCUUGUAGUC